AUACUGGAGAAUAGUCCUGAGAAAUUGGGAUUAAUGCUCCAUAGUAUCUUAAAACGGCCUCGUUUAAAGAUUAAAGCUCCGGCGGUAUAAGAUGAGUAUGCGUCCUAUUAGUUAGUUGGUGAGGUAACGGCUCACCAAGACAACGAUAGGUAGGGGUCCUGAGAGGGAGAUCCCCCACACUGGUACUGAGACACGGACCAGACUCCUACGGGAGGCAGCGUGAGGAAUAUUGGGCAAUGGAGGCAACUCUGACCCAGCCAUGCCGCGUGAAGGAAGACGGCCCUAUGGGUUGUAAACUUCUUUUAUACAGGAAGAAACGCAGAUACGUGUAUCUGUUUGACGGUACUGUACGAAUAAGGACCGGCUAACUCCGUGCCAGCAGCCGCGGUAAUACGGAGGGUCCAAGCGUUAUCCGGAAUCAUUGGGUUUAAAGGGUCCGUAGGCGGAUAAUUAAGUCAGAGGUGAAAUCCCCACAGCCAACUGUGGAACCGCCUUUGAUACUGGUUAUCUUGAGUUAUAGUGAAGUAGAUAGAAUAUGUAGUGUAGCGGUGAAAUGCAUAGAUAUUACAUAGAAUACCGAUUGCCAAGGCAGUCUACUAACUAUAUACUGACGCUGAUGGACCCAAAGCGUGGGGAGCCAACACGAUUAGAUACCCCUGGUAGUCCCCCCCGUAAACGAUGGAUACCAGUUGUUGGUCGCUUGCCGAUCAGUGACCAAGCGAAAGUGAUAAGUAUCCCCACCCGGGGAGUACCCGUCCGCCAGAUUGAAACUCACAGGAAUUGACGGGGGCCCCGCACAAGCCCGUGCGAGCCCUGUGGUUUAAUUCCGAUGAUCACGCGCAGGAAACCCUACCCAGGGGCCUUAAAUGUAAGUUUGCCAUGGGGGGUAGAGAAUACCCC
Molecule: ribosomal RNA, 900 nt
Filed under: CFB group bacterium epibiont of Rimicaris exoculata
Lineage: Bacteria; Pseudomonadati
Description: bacterial SSU rRNA
Rfam family: Bacterial small subunit ribosomal RNA
Source: RNAcentral